AACGAACGCUGGCGGCAGGCUUAACACAUGCAAGUCGAACGCCCCGCAAGGGGAGUGGCAGACGGGUGAGUAACGCGUGGGAACGUACCCUUUACUACGGAAUAGCUCCGGGAAACUGGAAUUAAUACCGUAUGUGCCCUUCGGGGGAAAGAUUUAUCGGUAAAGGAUCGGCCCGCGUUGGAUUAGCUAGUUGGUGGGGUAAAGGCCUACCAAGGCGACGAUCCAUAGCUGGUCUGAGAGGAUGAUCAGCCACAUUGGGACUGAGACACGGCCCAAACUCCUACGGGAGGCAGCAGUGGGGAAUAUUGGACAAUGGGCGCAAGCCUGAUCCAGCCAUGCCGCGUGAGUGAUGAAGGUCUUAGGAUUGUAAAGCUCUUUCACCGGGGAAGAUAAUGACGGUACCCGGAGAAGAAGCACCGGCUAACUACGUGCCAGCCGCCGCGGUAA
Molecule: ribosomal RNA, 447 nt
Filed under: uncultured bacterium
Lineage: Bacteria
Description: partial 16S ribosomal RNA
Rfam family: Bacterial small subunit ribosomal RNA
Source: RNAcentral